AAUUUGAGGAUCUUAAAAUUGACAGAAAUGAGGUGAUUGUGGUCAAUUGUAUGAACCGGCUAAAGCACAUGCCUGAUGAGACAGUGAUGGUGAACAGUCCAAGAGACAUUGUCCUAAAGUUGAUCAAGAAAAUUAAUCCAGACCUAUUCAUUCAUGGGGUUGUCAAUGGGACAUACAAUUCACCCUUCUUUGUCACACGGUUCAAAGAGGCACUCUUCCACUUCUCUGCACUGUUUGAUAUGUUUGAGGCCAGUGUUCCUCGUGAAGAUGAACGGCGGCUGCUGUUCGAAAAAGCUGUAUAUGGUAGGGACAUAUUGAAUGUCGUAGCGUGUGAGGGACUGGAAAGAGUUGAAAGGCCUGAGACAUACAAGCAGUGGCAGGUUAGGAAUGUGAGGGCUGGGUUCAAGCAGCUCCCACUAGACCAAGAGCUUUUGAAGAGAGUGAAGAGAAUGUUGAAGUUUAUGGGUUAUCAUAAUGAUUUUAGCAUUGAUGAAGAUGGCCAUUGGAUGCUGCAAGGAUGGAAAGGAAGAAUCACCAGGGCUCUUUCCUUUUGGAAAAAAGCCUAGACCACUAUUAAAAUCUUUAGUCUCUUCGCUCUUGAAUUUUUCCUUUAGUCUUCCUUCCAUUGGCGAAGUUGUGUUUACCGUAUUGUCAUGUUGUAAUGAGUUGAUUGUAAAUUUUAUUCAUUCCAAUGGGAGCUUGAUCUAGGAUUUGUAAUAUUUUGAUCCAAGUUGAAACAGAGCACUAAUUGAUAUGGAUGAUCAAAUGCAGUUUGUUGCACAUACAAUUACACUAUUAGCAGCUAAGAGAAAGCCCCCAUUGGGCUUUAAAGCAGGCUGAACCAUCGUGGGACUCCAACACGUAGCAACCUAAGCCAAAAAUCCAUCCCGAAUAGUCCACUUUUUGGGCUGUAAAUCCCUCAGCCUUCUAGAGGGAUGCAACCACAUACAUAAAUAUAAGAGCACUUCUACCCAUGAUGACAUGGUAAAUGGCAAGGGCAAGGCAGGCAGGCACUAUUCACGUGAAUAGUGCCUGACCUAGCAAUAUUUUUUUGGUUUUUUAACCCAUUGCCAUGGCAACCCAAUGAUAAUUCCUCUUCACAUGAGGCUAAUUUUAUUUUUAUGUAUGAGAUUAAUAAUAAAUAAAAAUGGCUAGGUAUGUAUAAAAAAGGAUUAUGAAUUUUUUGUUAAUUUUUCAGAAUUUACUUUGAUUUUUUUUAUUUAAAAUUAUAAAAAUUUCUUCGUUGAUGUCAGCACCCUUAAGCAACAACUCUGGUUGUUCUUGCCUUCGUGCCUGCCCAGUCUUGGUGGAGCCCACCAUUUGCCGGGGUGGAUUUGUGCGGUGGAGUGGGUUUCUUCAAUCUAGGGGCUAUAUCCUUAAAAUAUUCGUAUAUUUAAACAGUAUAGCCACAGGGCUAUACCCUUAAAAUAUUCGAAUAUAUUUAACGAGUACAGACGCACGCUAUACUCUUUCAAUAUUAAUAUAUUUUCAAAGUGUAUGUUUUACGAUUAGAGUUUCAAUCUUAAUAUACAGUUAGUACGACAUAACCAGACCUAAACCUAGUUAGUUGAGUGUGCCUUGAGGGAGAUUUUAACAAGUGGUUUGUUGUCAGAAGACCUAUUGGUAGUGAUCUCUUUGUUUUGCUUAUUGAUCCAUAUAUGAAUUUGGUUCAACUUCUUCAUUAUGUACCAUUCUCCUGUUACUAUAGGGGUUGCAAUUCCUCCUUAUUUUUCUUUAAAGAGUAUAGCCGCACUAUACAUUUAAAAUAUAUUAAUAUUUAAAGAUAUAUUCAAAUAUUUUAAGAGUAUAGCCGGGCGGCUACACUCGUUAAAUAUAUUAGAAUAUUUUAAUGGUAUAGCUGCACUGCUAUACCUCUAAAAUAUAUUAAUAUUUAAAUGAAUAUUUUGAAAGCAUAACUGCAUGGCUAUACUUUUAAUAUAUAUAUAUAUAUAUAUAUUUAAAGAGUAUAGCCACGAGGGUAUACUCUUUAAAUAUAUACGAAUAUUUUAAAAUUAUAGCCGUUUGGCUAUACUCUUGAAAUAUAUUUGGAUAAUUAUUAUUUAAGUAUUUAAUCAAUUUCAUAAAUUACUUAUUGAUUAUAUUGACUUAUCUUAAAUAAUUUUGUGGACUUUAAAAUUAUUUUUAUUUUCCAAACAUAUUUUUGAAAUAGUUUGAAUUAUUAGAAAUUGUUUUUAGUAUUCCAAAAAUGGAUUUGAUUAAAAGUAUUUUUAAUUUUUGAAUAUAUUUUAAAAAUAGUUUCAAUUAUUAGAAAAUUAUUUUAGUAUUCCAAUAAUAGAUUUGUGACAGACCAUGUUUCCUUCCGACAUUCAACUGAUGCUUGGCCCAUUUACUAAAAUAACCCUCUUCCUUGAACAAUAAUAGAAAAAGGGCUAAGAGUUUUACCCAAAUUUUGACAAAGUCUCCCUUGAAAAACGAAUAAAUCCCAAUAUUUUCCACAUGUAAAAACAACACAUUAAACAUCCCAACUGGUAGCACACACAAUGCUAAAGUACACAGUUCACAAAAUAGGCAUCCGACCUCAAUUUCAACCCUUCAUAGGCAAUAUCAGAGCAAUAUAAGAAAUUCUUUAGUUACACAACCAAAAUAGUUUUCAAAGGAAAUAAACAACAUAAAAGUCCUACUAUUAAAGUGGGAAGCGCGAGAAGAAUGGCUUGGCUUGGAUUCAUUAGUCACGUCAAGCUACAGCCUGGGAGGGCGCAAAGCAGAAAUUGUGAGUGGACAAAAAUAAAGUUUGAAUAGUGAUAAUCGAACAUACUAACCCCACCGUUUUAGAAAAAACGUUGCCAAAUCAUGCAAUGAAAUCCAUUGAAUUUUUAAACCAUAGUAAUCCCAUAAACACGAUAUAGCAUAAUAUAAUAACCAAAUUGGACCUUUUUCCUUUAACCAACCCCUUCCUGAGACAUAUGCUUAUAAAACACAAUAUGCAAAGAAAUAUCCUUAUAAAUAUAUAAGUAUAAAAAAAUAUAUAUGUAAUCACUACACCAUCGACAAGUACUGGGGGAAACAAUCCAACACGGAGACUGUUUUGACUAGACAUAUGGUAGAAAUGCAUUACUCUAUGACUAAGGACGAGCAGUCCAACCGGGGGACUAUUGCUUCCCAGCACACACGGCAAAAUCGCAUUACCGUGAGGCUGAAUCCUUUCAUAGGCGUGCAGACUGCCCCGUUAAGGGUGGCCGGGUCCCGACACCUCAGAAGAGUUACCGCGUGUCAAAUAUAUCCAAGUAUCUAGUAACAAGGGAGGUACAUAUAAUAGUGCAAUCAAUACCCGAUAUGCCAAAACCAAUAUUCCAAAAUCAUAGCCCAACAAAAUGUACCAAUUCCCCCCCCCAAAAAAAAAAAAAAUUUUUAAUUUCCAAUAAUCAUCUCUGAAAUCCAUAUUCUCAAAUUCACAAUAAUCAAUUCCAUACACAUCUCGAUAAAAUCAUAAUCCAAAAUUCAAAAUCCAUAUACUUUAUAACUAACAAUAAAUUAUAGUAAUCCCAUAAGAUACUAUAAAGCCAUAGUUAAAACAUAUAUCAAAUCACAUAAUCCCAAUAAACCAAAUAAACCAAGUUCUAAAUGAAAUCUCAUUUAUACAUGCAAUUUCAUAUUCGAAAAAUAAUGCUAAUUUAAAACAAUGUCCACUCACAACAAGUCCAGAGCUGUCCGACCCUAAGAGGGUCCCUCUUGUGGAGUACGUGGAGCCUGAGUACCUAUUUGAUAUAACAUAGGGAUGUAAUCAAUAAAAGUACCCAACCAUGACUACGAAUUUUGGAUAUGUUGUAUAUUACAGAAUUCUCAACAACUUUUGUCAAGGAACCUUUCUCAUCUGAGCAAGGAAAAUCUACAUGCAAGACAGAAUCCGAGCCUACAUCAACAUAGCAUAUAAGGAUGAAUAGGUUACAUCUCGAUACGUCUUGAGAUGGCUAUACUUCUUGGAUGAAGCUCAACGUUUGACAGAUAAUAGCCACGACAUAGAUAAACAAUUUUUGUGUGUGGAUAAAAUAGGAGGGUGAAAAUCCCAAAAAUAAAAAACAAAGACUACAUUAUAUUUAUCAAGCGGGCUGUAGUAGCCCCCGACGAGUCAUCAAGCAACAGAGGAAGGCUGCAUGCAAGAGUUAAUAAGUUCACACUAGUGUGGAACCAGCGGACAAGAAGUAAGAGAAGACUAGUCUAACCUUGAACACAAUUUAAGGUAGAUAGACUUAUCCAAUUGCCUUCUUUUGGAAAUGUUGUAGCUCUCGACCUCGACAACAACGUUUGUAAAAGAAUAGAGGUGAAACUUGCAAUAGAAACUUGCAUGCAAAGACAAAUCCGUACAUAACACACAGUACCAGGCAGAGAUGAGCUGUUCGUCCUUAAACUGGGUUUUGAAGGUGUUUACAUUUUUUGAUAGGGCUAAUUUUCGGAUAUCUUCUACUAGACAACCAGAUGAACAAAUUUGAAUAAGAAGAUAUUUCGUUUUGGGUUCAGGAGAGAGGGGUUUUGAAGUAUGGAACAAAACUGAAGGGUUUGGAAGCUAUGAUGAGUUUAGGAGAGAAGUCUUUGGGGAAUGGAGAAAACAUGAGCUGGUCAAGACUUUGGUCUAUGGGAACUAUAAAACUGACCAGACUUCGGAACUAAAAGAGGCAGGCGUGGGAUGGUACCUUGGUUUUUAAAUUUUGACUUCUCCAAAAUUAUAAUUAUGAUACUGCACUUCCGUAGAUCACAACUUCCUGGUUAAAAUUCCAAUUUGAGCCCACUACGUGUCUACGAACUUGUGAGAGCGAGCUUUACGCAAUGGUGCAACUUUAACUCCCAAAACUAAUUCUGAACAAAAAGUGACCAAAAAUACCUUACUUCAGGGGGACAAAAAACUGUAAGUUUGCAAAAUAAAAUAAUUAGUCGGGAUGAGGUGUAUAAUUUGACCCUGCAAACCCUAAAUCCGAGAGUCAAACCUUUCGCAAGCCUCAAACCCUAGUAGUUAACAACCACAUUUAUUCGUGUACAUUGUGCUAUUAGGUAUUAAUAGUGCUUUUAGCCACCUUAUCCUAUACCAUGGAUGUCAGGAACUAUAAUGUUGUUUUCUUGUACUGUUAGCAGCAAAUGUUAGUAUUUUUCUGCCUUUGAGCACUGUUGAUCCUUUUAGUCAUAAGAAAAACAGAAUUAAUACCCCCAAUAUAGAACUAAAGUUGCGUUUGGAUGAGGAAAUUUAAAAAUACUAAGGAAUUCAUAAAUGAUGGAAUUUAACAUAACGAAAAUUAAUGUUCUAGAAUUUGGAAAGUUUCUUGAUGAGGAAAUUUAAAAAUACUAAGGAAUUCAUAAAUGAUGGAAUUUAAAAUAACGAAAAUUAAUGUUCUAGAAUUUGGAAAGUUUCUUGAUGACAACUAUUUAGAUAGAAUUUAAAGUUGAGAUUUAUGACCUUCAAAUUCCAUUUUUUUUUUCCCAUACGAAAUUUCUAGAUUUAUUUUUACAUCCAAACACGGGAAUUAGAUUAUGUUAGUUUAGAAAUUAGGACCUUUGUCAAAAUCCCAAGUUUAGUAAGAGCAUCCGCAAUGAACUGCCUAAACCACUUUCUUAGGUAAAAUUUAGGGAGGAAGUGGGAAAACUCACCUCCAAGCAUGCUCCUUAUCCAUCUUCUAAAAUAGGGAGACCUCUAGGAGCUCCUAAAUCUAAGGAGAGAGAAUGAACUCCUAGUGGCUCCCUAUAAUUUAAUGUUCCCUAAUUUAAUAAAUAUUUUAAAUAUUGCCUUUUUUUUUUUUUAUAGAGAUGAACCAUUUAUGUUGAAUUAAAAAAGAAUUAUAGCAUUUAUGAUUCCCUAUACUAGAGAGUAUGAUUGAAGUUGAAAAUUUAUAGAGAGCUCCUAAAAUAGUUUCUUUGUAUUUUUAGCUAAAUUUUAACUAAAAAAAUAAUAUUGGCUCACCACUUUAACCCAAUGUGUACAAUCACCACCCUUCUCAACACUUGACAUGUGUCCAUAGGCCUAACCAUGGUUCUACAAAUACGAAGCAAAUUGUUAACUAUAGUUAUGCUCAUGAACACAUGUUAAGUAUUAAGAAGGAUGAUAAGAGUACACAUGGAUUAAAGUAAUGAGGGUAGAUGCUCUAAUGAGUUUAAAUUAUUUCCCCAAAAAAAAGAAGUGAUGACUUUAAAUUUCCUCCCAUAAAAAAAAGACCAAAUAGCCCCCAAUAUAGAAAGUCUCAUCAAUGUUGUUGUGGAAACCAAUUUUUGUUGUUUAAAAUUGUAAAGUUUGAUAAAUCUCAAAGUUGGAUGAAUCUUUGUCCACUAUGAGACAAUUCUCCAACAUAUCGCUUUAGUAAUAUACCUAAAAUAGGACCUGAAAUUAUAAAAAAACCUUAUAUGGAAUACACUUUAGAAACACAUCCAAAAAUCAUUUACUAUCUAAAAAAUGAGUGUUGAAGUUCCUAUAAAUUAUAUAUCUGCCAUUGAUUAACUUAAAACAAGCCCAAUACAAAAAAUUUUAAAAAAAAGAAAGCAAAAUAGGCCCAGUAAGUCCAACUCUGAUUUGACCACAAAAAAAAAAAAAAAAAGGCCCAGCAAACUUGAAGUACAUUGUUAAUAGCAUGUCAUUGAAGUACAUUAUGAAUACCACGUCAUAAAAAUACUUAUAGAAGUACAAUGUUAAUAUCAUUUCAUAAAAAUACAUUGUUAAUACCAUUUCAUACAAAAAAACUCAAGCAAGACAUCCGAUAUCCUUUGCAAAAACCACCUCCAAUUGUCCACAGUUUCACCAGAAACAAUCGCACAGGCAAAAGGAAAAACCUCUACAAGAAAAAAAAAAAAGUACCCUGUUUAUAUUAUGUCAUAAAACUAUCUUCCUAGUAAAAAUCACAUUAUGCAUAUCAUAAACUUCAAGUGCACAACUAUAUAUAGAGCAAAAUAUAUAGCAUGCUUUGUUACUGAAAAUACGUUAAUACUAUGUCAUAGAAGUACACUGUUAAUACUAUGUCAUAGAAAUCAACUCAGUUGUAGGGUAUGAACAAUAUAACAACUGUUCAUACCACUUACUGGAAGCUAACAACAUCAUUUCAUUCCUGCCACCAUCAGAAUCAGCAUAUUUGUGAGGAGAGAAAGAGCCGCCGAGCAAGACUUCAGAGUAGAAUCCAGCAACAUAUGAAGCUUGAUUUAGAUACAUCAUUAUGUUGGCGGGGGUUCAGGAUAAGAAGCAAGUUUCUCAUCCUCUACAUAGGAGGGGUUCAACAAGUUUUGGUUGCUUAAAUUUUGGAAAUAUGUAGCCAUAGCUUGGUUGGUUGGUUCCUCUGUCUCCAAAGCCAAAGCCUUGAGUUAACCUACGACAAAAUCCAAAUUACCAGUCUUGCUCAUAAACAAAUUACCAUUCUAGAUCAAUCACAGGUUCCUAACAUAGAAAAUAAGAAACCCAUAAAAAAGAAAGCCUAACCAAAAUUACCAAAAGCAAAACCAGCAAAAUGAAAAGGAACCACAUAGUGAUCAAAAGAACAGAAGCCAAAUUUAACCCAAAUAUCAAAAUCUUCUUCUUCUUCUUUUUCGGAUCAUCAUAAGUAUGUAGUGAACAUGUUAACACAUGAAAUUAAUAACAAGCACUCAAAUUCCAUUCCAUUCCAUCACAAAGAAGAAUAGUAACAUAAUUAAUUAAAAUGAAAGCAAUAGGGGAGCUUCGUGAAGUGUACCUGAAAGGUGUGGUCUGGGAUUGAAUUGUGAAGCAAAAACAAAUGGGGAAGCUUUAGAUGGAUAGAAGAGAAGAGAAACUGAGGUAAAGUCUUCCACCUUCUCAUCCUCCCUCUCGAACUGGAGACAAACGCUGGAGUAGCCGGAAAUGGUGUCGGAAAACUCGAAAACAACAGACGUGAUCGCCGACCCUGGCCGGUCCUUUUCCUAUCGGUUUCACGGUUGCCGUGGCUGGAGCACCAAGAUUGUCGGCCAACCUGGUUUCCGCAAAGGGAGAGAGACGAGAGAGAGAGCCCUAGAAUUUUUCAAAAAAACUAAUUUAAUACUAAAAGGGUAAAAAAAAAGUAUUUCAUUUAACUAAUUAAACUAAAAAAUGUAAUAGUUGUGAGUUUUGAGUUUUUUUUUUUGGGUGUGUUUAUAUACAUUAAAUGGUAUAUGGUUUCUUUAUAAAACUAUGUCUAGGAAUGGGUAUUUAACUAAUUUUAUAUUCUUUUUAUUGUUGUUGGAGUUGGAGAAUUACAAUGUUUUAGUUAAUUUCAUUAUUCUAUAUAUUUUGGUCACUGUAGACAAAGAAAUUUUGGUGCAAUAAAUUCCAUUGGACAAGAAAAUAAUUAGGGUUCGGUGGAUUAAAUCGUGGGCCUCGUAAUUCGCCCAUGUAGUGUGUGAUUCAUCAAAAUCGGAUUAGUUGUCAAAAAUGACACAUAGCGACAUCAGACGGAGUGCAUCAGACGGUUCAAGAUGAAGACAAAAUUAAAGGAAAGAAUCUUCUGUGAUUGACUUUGAUUUAAAUCAAAUAUUAAUCAGGUCAAUUAAUUGAAGAUAAUCUGGUUAAAUUGCCAGAUUAUGGGAAUUGAUUUAAAUCAAAUCAAAAUCCUACAAAACAAGGUUUUAAAUAGGGAAAGUUAUUUAGGUCAAGCAUCCUACAAUAGCCUAUAAAUAGGAAGCCUCAAGAAGAAAGAAUGGGUCAGAAAAACCUAUCAUUCAGAAGAAACAGAAAACUCUCUGCAUUCUUCACCCUACUUUGGAAGAGCCAUCAAGCACAACAAAUAGGUGCUGGUUCCUCCAAUCUAGAAAAAUCUCGAACACCAAACAAGCUUCGUGCUACCUUUUUGAUCAAGAUCAAGUCUCUACGACCCUUGUAUCAAACAGAAAUUUUCUUUAAACACUUUGGAGAUAGAAUCAGAGGAUUCAAUACAGAGAUUGUAACCCUAAAUUUCAUUAAUACAAAAUUAUUUUGUACACAUGUUCUUGUCUCAUUUGUCGCAGGAAAUUCGUGUUUACAGUUACUUUUGACUAAUUGAGCUGCCAGUCACUGUCCAAACAACAUCACACAUUUUUGUUUGCUAUCAUUAUACAUUUGAUACAAAAUGUCAAUUCCCAUCGUAUAUAAGAAUUUAAUAAAACUUGAUUUUAAUUGAUGCUUUAUAUACAAGUAAAUAAACUGGUGCUAUUCAGGGAUGGGUUCAGGAUUUUAAAUUGGGAUGGGCUAAAUUUACACUAGAGAGUGGAACAUAAAGGUGCAUCUAUUGCAGUGUACCAAUUCGUUCUUUUAUUUAUUUAAUUUUUUUUUUCACUUAAAGGGAUUAUGUGUGAAUAGGGUUAUCAGUGAAGAGAAAAUUAGCAAUAGAUUGUGCAUAAAAAAAAAAUAUAUAUAUAUAUAUAAAAGUUGGCAGUAGGCUAAAAAAGUAAUAACAAGAAGGUAAUACUUUUCAUUUUAGAGAGAACUUUAUAUAGAUGUCCUACACAAGAAUGUCCUGGAAUAGUCGAAGGGAAUUCAAUUCAUUAUUUUGUCUCAUCUUCUUUUCUUUGAGUGCAUUGUUGAAUGAACGCUGAACCUGCAAGUCUUUGGAUAUGAGUGUGACAUGAUUGUCAUUAGUAAGCAUGGGUGGGCUAAAUUAAAUUUAAGGUUGAUAAAAUAACAACUCACCUGUGCUAUAGCCCAGGUUAGUCCCUUCUAAGGACCGUCCUUGGUGCUUUGCGAAUGCGUUCCCACCACAGUGUUGGUGGAUUCUUUCCUCCAAUGUAACCCAAAAAAAAUGGUGCUCUUGUCCUUUGAGAGUUUCAAUGACCAUGCUCUCUGUAUAAAACCAACUUCCUUGGACAACAAAUGUAGGUAACCGUCUCAAUCUUGAAGAUGGUCUUAUUUGGAACUCCCAGCGGGAAAAUUCUAUAAUAUAUAUUUUUGGGUCAACAAAAAAUAUAUGCUCAUCCUUAUGUGAUGAAAAUCAAAAGGAGAUUGCCAACAGGGUCUAACUCAGUGAAAAAGGACUUUGACUUGCAUACCAAAGGUCUCAUGUUCGAAUUCCCAUGACGCCAGAGUUAUGUGUGUGUGAGAAAUCCCUCUCCCAUUUAGUUUAGACUAUCACUUGUACUAAAUUAAAAAAAAAAAGAAAAGAAAAAAAGAGAGAGAAUGAGUUGAGUUGACCUUGAAAUUCUACGUAAAUUUAGGUUUUAGCUAUAAAAAAACUUUCAUUUUGAAAAAAGCCAAAGCUUUUUAAAAAAAGACAGAAAAACCUCUCAACUUUCAAACUAAAGACAUGCAAAUAUAAAGGAUUUCUUAGGAAAUCUAAAAAUAAAUAAGGGCAAUUUUAUCAAUUUUAGCUUCUUUUAAAAAAUUUCUCUUUCCUUUGGCAUUUUCCAAAGUCUCCCGAAAUUCUAUGUAUUUAACAUCACACCGAAAAUUUUCAUCAAGCAAAGACAACUAAUCUAAAGCUAAAAUGUUAAUUAAUUAUAAUAAAACAUACUUGUCGUAUAAAAUAAUAUUGGUCAGUGUAUCUUAACAAGAAUUAAAAAAAAAAAGAAAAAAGAAAUUGCUAAGGGAAGACUAAAACAAGAUGGGGACUUGUGAAAGUUGUCUUAGAACCAACAUGUGAUGUUUCACUUUUAUUUAGUACCUAAACAGUAGUUUGAUUUAGGAGAUAAGCAUGAGAAGGGAGGAACUGCUAUAAUUAUAUUUAUAUAUUUUUCCAUUUCACAUAAACCAACUCCUUAAAAAUUCACGUACUCAAUCUUCACUCUUUCCAACGUUAAUUUGUUAAUUGUCAAUCACGCAUGGAUUUGACUUUAAUGUGUGGUCCUCGACUCUCCCAGAAACUUGAAAACACUUGAUGUCAAAACCUCAUUGGCUAUCCUAUGUGGUCUACAACUGUAAUAAUAUACAAAAGUGGCGGCUGGUUCAACGAGGCCUUCCCAGAAGGUUCAUUGCUAUGAAGAUGGAUCUUCCAGCUUCUGUUCUUUCGCAGAGUAUAAGCAUAUUCUCCUAUGUAUAUAUACACGUCCGGAGUCCAUUAAAGCUGUCUGGUAAUUAUGAUUUUCUUCAGGUGUGAGGUACUCUGCUAUAUUUCUUAGUUAUUCCAGAAGUUUCUGCAUUUUAUUCAAUUUUUGUUUGUUCAAUCAUUUUUCUGUUCAUAACAUAGACUAGUUUGCUGAUAUUGGGCAAAUCUGAAUCUUGCUAUCUGUUUGUGUUCUGGGUAUCUCUCACUCGUCCAAUUGGGUCAAGUUCUUAUUUGGUGAGUCUCAUCACUUGAGAUUCCAAUAUUCAUUUCAAUUUCCUUUCUAUUCCAAAAUUUCAUAUCACAGUCGGGUUUCUUGAAAAAGUAAAAAUCUCACCAGGUAAAUUGGUUGAUAGAUUGUUUUUAUGGAUACCCUUCUUGAAAGAUAUUCUUUCCAUGGAAAGAUUCAAUUUUGGGCAAGGCUCAGCUUCAUUCUAUUCUAAUCAGAAUCUGGUAAAUGGGUUCCAUCCAAGUAAAUCAAGAAUCCACAAGUCCAGUUUGCCUUUCAACCAAUUUGGACCACCUUAGUGAUUCAAAUACUUCUUUGAGCUCUGGUUCAGAUGGAGAUGCUAUUGACAUUAGUGAGUACAAUCAUCCUGUGAUUAAGUACAUAAGUGAUAUUCUAGAAGAAGACCUUGAGGGUAAGCCCUGCAUGUUGCAGGACUGUUUGGCCCUCCAAGCUGCUGAAAAAUCUUUCUAUGAUGUCCUUAAUCAGAAUGACCAUCCUUCACCCAAGCAACCCCCUCUUUCUGUGCACCAAAGCUUUGAGAACUCAGAUGAUGAUUCCCCACAUAGUUGUCAUAGCAGUAAUGGCUCUAUUGCUGUGAAGACAAACUGGGUUUUUGAUCGUUCAGAAGCUUCACAUGUCCAAUCUUCUCUUGUUCAGUCCCUAUCAGAUGCUGGUUUGGUUUCAGAUUCACUUUCUGAGAUGCAAAGUCUUGGGCAUUUUGGAGGGUUAGGGGAAGCAAGCAAGUUCCUUCCAAAUGUAAAACUGGAGGGGUACCGGUUAAUGCUUCCGGGUCUUGAUCAGUGGCCUUCAAGUACUAACAUACUGAUGACAACGCCAGACAAUGAUGGCUACAAGUCAACAAAUGGAUCAAAGGGAAAGAAAAAUAAUCAAAGGGAGGAUGCUGAUUAUCCAGAAGAAGGCAGAAGCAACAAGCAGCCAGUUGCUUUUGCUGAUGACUCGGAGCCGCAAGAAAUGUUUGAUGAGGUAUUACUUUGUCAUGGGAAUCAUGAGUUUGAGUCGUGUUCUCCUGAUGAAUCUUUGAUAACUGUGGGAAGUGGGAAGUUGCAGCGCAACAAGCAAAAAGGAUCUAAAACAGCGCGUUCAAAGAAACAGAAUAACAACUGGGAACUAGUAGAUUUGAGCACACUGUUAACUCAAUGUGCACAAGCUGUGGCAAGCUAUGACCAAAGAACUGCAAGUGAACUACUCAAGCAGAUAAGGCAGCAUUCUUCCCCCUAUGGUGAUGCUAACCAGAGAUUAGCUCAUUACUUUGCGGAUGGCCUAGAGGCACGCUUGGCUGGAGCCAGAACUCCAUCAUACUCUUUCCUUGUUAGUAUGCAGAUAUCAGCUGCUGAAAUCUUAAAAGCUUAUGAGGUAUUUGUUACUUCAUCCCCUUUCAAGACGGUGUCACAUUUCUUGGCGAACAAAACAAUUCUGAAACUAGCAGAAAAAGCAACUAGGCUUCAUGUUAUUGAUUUUGGCAUUUCUUAUGGUUUCCAAUGGCCCUGCUUUAUCCAACAUCUCUCCAAGAGACCGGGUGGACCUCCUAAGCUUCGUAUCACAGCAAUUGAGCUUCCCCAACCAGGUUUCCGACCUACAGAAAGGGUUGAAGAGACGGGGCGUCGCCUGAAAAAAUAUGCUGAGAGAUUUAAUGUCCCAUUUGAGUACAAUGUCAUUGCUCAGAAGUGGGAAACAAUCCAAUUUGAGGAUCUUAAAAUUGACAGAAAUGAGGUGAUUGUGGUCAAUUGUAUGAACCGACUAAAGCACAUACCUGAUGAGACAGUGAUGGUGAACAGCCCAAGAGACAUUGUCCUAAAGUUGAUCAAGAAAAUUAAUCCAAACCUAUUCAUUCAUGGGGUUGUCAAUGGGACAUACAAUUCACCCUUCUUUGUCACACGGUUCAGAGAGGCACUCUUCCACUUCUCUGCACUGUUUGAUGUGUUUGAGGC
This 13100-nucleotide long non-coding RNA is filed under the name Prunus persica (peach). RNAcentral describes it as "long non-coding RNA (PPER_LNC008587)". Lineage: Eukaryota; Viridiplantae; Streptophyta; Magnoliopsida; Rosales; Rosaceae. The record is from RNAcentral.